RNAcentral lists this long non-coding RNA (357 nucleotides) under Gopherus agassizii (Agassiz's desert tortoise). RNAcentral describes it as "lncRNA (ENSGAGG00000010597.1)". The record is from RNAcentral. Lineage: Eukaryota; Metazoa; Chordata; Testudines; Testudinidae.
CUCCCCAGCUCUGUAAUUUAAUCAGAGAACUAAAGCCAAGGAAGAGACACGUGCAAUGUUUUGUUUGGCUUUUUAAGACGCUGUGCAGAACUACCUGUACCUGAAAGACAAGAAAGGAUGCCAGGAUGCUGUCGAUACUUUCUCGAGCAGAUUUGAUAAUUGGAGGUAAACAUGGGGUUAACUGGAUCAGAAUAAAUGAGAGUGGUCCCCGGAUCAUCUUUCUUUGGCUACGGGAAAAUGCCAGCGGGGGUGAGGAGGCUGAGGAGAGCUCCCCACAGGCGUGAGGCAGACGGAGCAGCGCAGAGUGCGUUACUGUGUGUGGCUGUUUCUGGGCUGUGUUCUCUGUCCCAGUAGGGA